GGAGUGGUCCUCCGGAGGCAAGUCGCUCCAUCAGAAGAAGAGUGCGGAGGGGGACACUCUGAGGAAAACGCUGGUCACCCUCACCAACAUCGUGUUCCAUCGGGGGGAAUGACGCUCCACCCAGCCCACAUCACCAUGGACACCAGGCAGGGUGAAAGAUUAUUCGUCAGACUGGUCGGACGAGGAGAGUCCUAAGAAGCUGGCGGUGAACGGCGUGGGGGAGGCGAAGGAGGAGGAGGAGGAUGAGGAGGAGGAGGAUCAGGAUCAGGUAGAGGCGGUGCGAGUCCGAGCGAUCUAUGAUUACGAGGGCCAGGAGGCCGAUGAGCUCAGCUUUAAAGCAGGCGAGGAGCUGCUGAAGAUGGGGGAGGAGGACGAGCAGGGCUGGUGUAAAGGGCGGCUGAGCAGCGGCCAGGUGGGCCUCUACCCCGCCAACUACGUCCAGAACUCCUGAUGGCCCGCCCAGCCAAUGGUACCACACUCAAGAUGCCAGGACCAAUCACAAGCUAGUAGUGCUGACAUGGAGACGGUGAAACCAGACAGUUUUCUGGUGACUGACUGAUAAAACAACUUUUUUUCCUUUUUUUUAUCAGCCAGUUGGAAAAAAGUCAGUCUAUUGUGAAAGGCUGUUUACACAACCUGAGGUGAAUGACAUUGUUUUUUGAAAGAAGCUUUACAGGCAAAGAGAAAUCAAUGGAGGCCUGCCAAUGCUCUGUAGAGAAACAUGGACGCAAGUGAACAAACUCUGGAUCUUUUUUUCUGCUUGCUGCCAUCGUUUUUAGUUGCAAGAGUUAGAAAAUCCACAUUGAAUCUAAGAGGAGACAGCCCGGGUGCCGCAGCGGUAAGAGUCACCACCACGGCUGACAGUGAUUGGCUGAAACACAUGUCAAUCAGUUUCCGUUCUGCUUUUUUGUGGAAGAAACCAUUUCACAUUUUGGGAAUUAAAAAAUUAAUUAAAACGUUUUAUGCAGUUAGAUCACAGAAUAGAAGCAACUCAAAAACGGCUGAGAAAGCCUUCAGGUUCUGAAGACUAUCUUUGGAAGUAAAAGCCCAAUUGUAUUCGCACAAACGAUAUCAAUGAAAAUUCCUAAAACUCUGAUGUGCACGGCUAACAACAGGAGAGCUAGGCUUUGAUUGGGUUACCUUUAUUCAGAACUAGGCUAGUCUUCCCUAUUGUUUUAAGUCUGUAUGAUAAGCUAACCAGCAGUUGCUGACCUCUUGUGUUAGCUAUAUCUAUCUUCAAAUCUAACUCUAGGCAAGUGAAUAAGCUUUAUUUCCCAACAUGUGAAACACAUUUUUUAAACACCACUAUUUUCAUCAUUAAAGAAAGUAAUCGUCGUUGUUGGGGGAAACAUUUUAAAGCAAUUUUCAAUAGAUGUUGGCGCACUUUGAUCCAGCCCCUAGUGUCCGCUAGAGGAACUGCAGCUGGCGGCACCUUCAACUUCCUCUUCGCUCAGUUUUGGUGGUUCGUGCUUGGAUUAAAGAGAUAUAAAGACUGCCAGUGCCUUAGUCAGUGAGGCCAGACAUUUUACAGCCCCCCCCUGCUGUCUGACCGAGGAACUACAGCCACCUGAUCCUGACCCCUAGUCUGAUCCCAGUGGAAUCUGUGUCAGGACUUUAAAAUGUUUUACCUUCUGAUUGGUUCAUUUAGCUCGACAUUGGCAUGCUUUGGUUCAUUUGUGGUUUUUUAGGUGUGACACUGAAUUCACUUUCUUUCCUUUCUUUGUAUGUGAUAGCUGUAUGUUUAUAUUCAUUCAACAGAUUUUGAUUUUGGGACGGUGUAAACUAAUGCUACUUGUUUCUUUUUAAGAAUAGCAUUUUUACAGUCAAUUUAUUUACUUUCUAAUUUAUUGUCCUUUUUAAUUUAGCAAUCAUUUUCAAUGUUAGUCUGACUAAGGUGGGAAGUUGACUGUUAGCUUUGGGCCCUUUGACCUGUGGAAGGUGGUUUGUUUUGCCGUGCUUCGAUCAUGAAACACACAGAACACAAACACCUUAAAUAAUUGAUCAUAUUCUGUCCGCUUUGUUAUUUUUUCAUGUUUAAUUUUGUGGUUUGUGUGUGAGGGGGCUUCCUCCUUCCUGCUGAUGUGAGCGUCGCUACAGCUAAUCCACGUAGACGUCUGAAUAAUAAGAGAGGUAAUAGAGAUAAUUAACGCUAAUGUGAUGCUCCUUUUUUCCUUUUUCUUUACAAAAUGAUAACAUGUACAUAACAUUACGUGGGAAGCAACAAUAAAGCGCUUUCUGGA
Long non-coding RNA from Notothenia coriiceps (black rockcod), 2240 nucleotides. RefSeq lists it as uncharacterized. The record is from RefSeq and is a predicted model, not a curated record. The transcript has 3 exons. Lineage: Eukaryota; Metazoa; Chordata; Actinopteri; Perciformes; Nototheniidae.